GUGGGAAGCUGACCAAGGCCGAAAGGAGGGCUAAGCUAAAGAAACUUAAGAAAGAAGCAAAGAAACAGGGGAAGGAGAGUCCUCAACCACAAGCCGCUCAAGAUACCCCCCAAGCGGUGGUGCUGGCUGAGGUGAAAGAAGAGCUUACGGCAGAAGAGGCAUUCGAAA
Punica granatum (pomegranate) is the source of this 168-nucleotide non-coding RNA. The record is from RefSeq and is a predicted model, not a curated record. Lineage: Eukaryota; Viridiplantae; Streptophyta; Magnoliopsida; Myrtales; Lythraceae.